UACGUAGGGUGCAAGCGUCGUCCGGAAUUAUUGGGCGUAAAGGGCGCGUAGGCGGCUACGCACGUCCGUUGUGAAAUCGCUCGGCUCAACUGGGCGGGGUCAGCGGAUACGGCGUAGCUGGAGCAAGCUAGGGGGCAAUGGAAUUCCCGGUGUAGUGGUGGAAUGCGUAGAUAUCGGGAGGAACACCAGUGGCGAAGGCGGUUGCCUGGAGCUUUGCUGACGCUGAUGCACGAAAGCCAGGGGAGCAAACAGG
RNAcentral lists this ribosomal RNA (253 nucleotides) under uncultured bacterium. Its description in RNAcentral is "partial 16S ribosomal RNA". It matches the Rfam family "Bacterial small subunit ribosomal RNA", at positions 524 to 776 of the family's 1533-position model. The record is from RNAcentral.